Molecule: long non-coding RNA, 1069 nt
Organism: Portunus trituberculatus (swimming crab)
Lineage: Eukaryota; Metazoa; Arthropoda; Malacostraca; Decapoda; Portunidae
Exons: 4
Source: RefSeq, a predicted model, not a curated record
GUAGUAGUAGUAGUAGUAGUAGUGGUUGUUGUUAUUGUUGUAGUAGUAGCAGUAGCUGUAGUAGUAGUAUAGUAGUAGUUGUAGUAGUAGUAGUAGUGGUAGUAGUAGUAUUUGCUGUUCUUGUAUAAACAGAAGCAUUGACAAUAGCAGAACCAGCUGCAGCAGAAACAGCAGCAGCAAAAGACAUCUUAGGUUAUGCCAAGGCUGAUGAGGUUACCUGAAGCUGAAGUAUCAAGCUGCACAGUAUUUCCCUACAAUGACACGAAGAGUGAUGUCACAGGGAUAGCCUUAAAAAUACUACGUUCCCUUUCAAAUGAAUCUGAAAUAAAAUGGUGAGGAAAUACUAAGUGGUAGCAGAUUCUCGGAUUAAUGGGUCCUGCAGGGUAAGUACUACACAUUACUGCACACUAAACACACACGCACACAGACACACCCAGAUACACAAAAGCUAAGACAAAAUAAUCAAACUAAUCGGAACAAAAAAGGUAAAAAAAGAACUAUCAAUAAUGUGAAUAGAAACCUGAUACUCGUGCGCUUGUCCCGCGUCAUCUGUCUCCCAUCAUACUGAGCUGCGCCAGCUGAUCUGCACCACGCUGUCAUGGAGGCAGAGCUUCAAGUCCCGCAUCACUACCAGGCCACCAGAAACGUUACGUGGCAGUGACGAGGGUCUGCACUACACCGAUUAGUGAUGAGGUGUGUCCUGUAUUGAAGUGCAAGGAGUGGAGUGCUGAGUUCCCUCCCUUCACCACGAUGGGUGCUGAACUAUGGAAAGGCUAGAGCAAGCUACAGUGCACAUCAAAAAGUGAGAACCUGUAGUGAAGGCGUGACGCUGGCCGUGUGAGUGCGAGCAAAGCAGGUGGAACAGGUGCACGCCACACGCACUGCGUGGCGGUAGCCUGGCGGCUUUUUUUGGUGUUUGUUUUAUUGAGAUGGGCGUGAGUUGAUGGGACGAGCAGUGCCCGAGCAGCCAGACAUGCUGAAGCUGAAACGGGAGUGAGCUUGGACGCCUGCUUGUGAAGGAACGGCUCUUGUGUGGUGCUGUUCACAUACUGAGUGGUCGAUCAGCUGA